RNAcentral lists this long non-coding RNA (1506 nucleotides) under Homo sapiens (human). Its description in RNAcentral is "non-protein coding lnc-SPATA31E1-5:1". Lineage: Eukaryota; Metazoa; Chordata; Mammalia; Primates; Hominidae. The record is from RNAcentral.
CAUGACUCCAAAAGAGAAUUGAAGCUACUGAAGCCCUGCUUCCUAUGAAAUCUCCCACCUACUUGAGGGAUUCAAGAAGUCCUGAAUUUAUCCAUGUUGCUAUGAGGCCAGAUAUCAUUACAGAAACUGUAGUGGAGGUGUCAACUGAGGGGUCUGAACCAACGGAUACCUCUCCUAUUCCUACAUCACCAGAUAGCCAUGAACCAAUGAAAAGGAAAAAAAUUGGCUGUAAACCAAAGACCCAACAAUCACCAAUUUCCAGUGGGUCUCCUGAGUCAGGUAUAAAAAAAAAGAUGAGAGAAGGAAAAGGAAACAUAAUAUAUUUGUGGGAGUUUCUUUUAGAUCUACUUAAAGAUAAAAAUAUUUGUCCCCUCUAUAUUAAAUGGAUUCAGAGAGAAAAAGGCAUAUUCAGGCUGGUGGAUUCAAAGGCUGUCUCCAAGUUUUGGGGAAAGCAUAAGAACAAACCAAACAUGAACUAUGAAACUAUGGAAUGAGCUUUGAGAUUCUAUUACCAAAGGGGAAUUAUUGCAAAGCUACCAAAAGGGAAGUCUUGCAAAGGUUGAAGGACAGAGGCUUGUAUAUCAGUUUAAGGAUAUGCCCAAAACCAUAGUGGUCACAGAUGAUGACAGAAGUGAAAUCUGUAAUGAAAAUUUAGCAGGAGCUACUGAUAAAAAAUCAUUGGAACGAGUGUCACUGUCGGCAGAAAGUCUCCUGAAAGCAGCAUCCUCUGUUUGUGAUAGAAAAAAUUCAUCCCCCAUAAACUUCUCCAGAGCAGAGAAGAGUGUAGCUAGAGUCGUGAAUAUCACUUCCCCUGGUCACGAUGCUUCAUGCAGGUUUCCAACUACCACUGCAUCUGUAUCAGCAACAGCAGCUCCAAGGACAGUUUGUGUGGCAAUGCAAGUACCUGUUGUAAUGACAUCAUUGGGUCAGAACAUUUCAACUGUGGCAGUUCAGUCAGUUAAUGCAGGUGCACCAUUAAUAACCAGCACUAAUCCAACAACAGCGACCUCUCCAAAGGUAGUCAUUCAGAUAAUCCCUACUAUGAUGACAGCUUCUACUGAAAACCAAGAAAAAAUCACCAUGCAGCCUGUCAAAAUUAUUACCAUCCCAGCUACACAGUUUGACUUUGUCAACUACAGACAAAGUCAAAUUUAACUGGAUCAGGAAGCAUUGACAUUGUUGGAACACCAUUGGCUGUGAGAGCACUUACCCUUGUUUGUUUCAAUAGCCCAUGGUACACCUGUAAUGAGACUCUCAGUGCCUACUCAGCAGGCAUCUGGCCAGACUCAUCCUCUAGUUAUCAGUUUGGUCAUAAAGGGGCCAGAGGUUAACUCAGAAGCAGUGGCAAGAACACAAGAACAUGAUGUGAAAACUUUGCAGCUGAAAGAAGAAAAGCCGGCAGAUGGAAAUGAGACAGUUACCCACGUAGUGGUUGUCAGUGUACCUUCAGCUAUUGCCCCUUCUUGUAACUAUGAAAAUGAUGGACUAGUGACAUGUGAGAAAUAA